UGGGGAAUAUUGGACAAUGGGCGAAAGCCUGAUCCAGCCAUGCCGCGUUUGUGAAGAAGGUCUUCGGAUUGUAAAGCACUUUAAGUUGGGAGGAAGGGCAUUAACCUAAUACGUUAGUGUUUUGACGUUACCGACAGAAUAAGCACCGGCUAACUCUGUGCCAGCAGCCGCGGUAAUACAGAGGGUGCAAGCGUUAAUCGGAAUUACUGGGCGUAAAGCGCGCGUAGGUGGUUUGUUAAGUUGGAUGUGAAAUCCCCGGGCUCAACCUGGGAACUGCAUUCAAAACUGACUGACUAGAGUAUGGUAGAGGGUGGUGGAAUUUCCUGUGUAGCGGUGAAAUGCGUAGAUAUAGGAAGGAACACCAGUGGCGAAGGCGACCACCUGGACUAAUACUGACACUGAGGUGCGAAAGCGUGGGGAGCAAACA
Molecule: ribosomal RNA, 427 nt
Filed under: uncultured bacterium
Lineage: Bacteria
Description: partial 16S ribosomal RNA
Rfam family: Bacterial small subunit ribosomal RNA
Source: RNAcentral